CAGGUAUUCAAGACGAUUCAGUAGUCUCAACGUGGAUCAGCUCAGAUCCCUGCAGUUACGCGUGAUAUCGGGGGACACUGUCUUCGUACCUGGAACGCUGGAAGAACCCGCACUGGGGCAGAGAAGAAAAAGAACGGUUUACAUUUAAGUUGUUGCCAAGGUACUACAAUUAUAGCGGCAAUAAAUCAACAAAUUCUUCCUUUGCACAGACAUACAGUGCAGAACCGGUACUGAAGUUUCAGAUUGCUGUGACAUUUGUUGUCUUCUCCACAUCCUUCUUUUAAGAACUCCACCUAAAUGAAACCAAAGCACUUUUACUGCCCGCCACAUGAUGCUAGCAUCAAACAAGAUUCCUGAUGUGCACUGCAUAAAGCAUUUACAGGGAACUCAAGAGACACUUCCCUGGACAGAAUUCAUUUGAAUUUAGAAUUGGUAUAAGAUCCGGAAGCGCUCUCUCUUUUCUGCUGGACGGAAGGGAGAAGACAAGACAGUUCACGUGAACAGAUGAAUGACCUGAUCCCACUUGCUCUGGGAGAAACAUCUAAGGGGUGUUUGAAAAGGUCAGUCAGCCACCUCCUCCUCUUCUAGCAAAUUUCUUUUAACCCUUUCACUGUUUCUCACCGUAAGGGUUUUCUUUCUCACCUUUGUAAAAGUGCCCUUAGCAACUGACAAAGCUCCUUUUGAGUAAGCAGAACACUUAGUAAUCUAACCAGCUUCCA
Long non-coding RNA from Egretta garzetta (little egret), 719 nucleotides. RefSeq lists it as uncharacterized. The record is from RefSeq and is a predicted model, not a curated record. The transcript is spliced from 5 exons. Lineage: Eukaryota; Metazoa; Chordata; Aves; Pelecaniformes; Ardeidae.